Molecule: ribosomal RNA, 314 nt
Filed under: uncultured Rhizophydiales
Lineage: Eukaryota; Fungi; Chytridiomycota; Chytridiomycetes; Rhizophydiales
Description: partial large subunit ribosomal RNA
Rfam family: Eukaryotic large subunit ribosomal RNA
Source: RNAcentral
AUAUUAAUAAGCGGAGGAAAAGAAAAUAACCAUGAUUCCCCUAGUAACGGCGAGUGAAGCGGGAACAGCUCAAAUUUGAAAUCUCACAGUUUCACUGUGCGAAUUGUAGUUUAGAGAAGCGUUUUCUGGGCCAGGCUGGGCCGAAGUUCUUUGGAACGAGACAUCAUAGAGGGUGAGAAUCCCGUAAAUGAUUCAGAGGCUGGUCCAAUGUGAUACGCUUUCGGAGAGUCGGUUUGUUUGGGAAUGCAGACCUAAAUGGGUGGUAAAUACCAUCUAAAGCUAAAUAUUGGCGAGAGACCGAUAGCGCACAAGUA